CUUUUUAUCUUUAUUGUUUUAUUAAUUAUAAGUGUCCUUGGCCAGCAAGGAGAAUGUCCAUUUGGACUUUAUCCUGUAAGUUGGACAGCUUGUCAAUAUCACCAUCAAUGUCCAGGAAGAUCAUUUUGCUUGUUUGUCCCUUGGAGGUCAUACGGCAUUUGUUGUCCAAACAUUUGGGACAAAAUACAAUCUAGCAUUAAUUUCUUCUAGGAUGAACUAGCAGUGAAGUGAUUCAUAUUGUAAAACGUUUGGAGAAUAAAGAGGAAAUCAAUAA
Long non-coding RNA from Saccostrea echinata, 274 nucleotides. RefSeq lists it as uncharacterized. The transcript has 3 exons. Lineage: Eukaryota; Metazoa; Mollusca; Bivalvia; Ostreida; Ostreidae. The record is from RefSeq and is a predicted model, not a curated record.